Oreochromis niloticus (Nile tilapia) is the source of this 7942-nucleotide long non-coding RNA. RefSeq lists it as uncharacterized. NCBI's taxonomy places the organism in Eukaryota, Metazoa, Chordata, Actinopteri, Cichliformes, Cichlidae. The transcript has 3 exons. The record is from RefSeq and is a predicted model, not a curated record.
UUUACUCUGUGAAAACUUUCUGUCGGCUUUGGAGAGCACAGAUACAUAUGCGGGGCUCGAGCUCACGGAGACUUGUUUAACAUGGCUGCUACUGCUUCAGGCUGCACAGCUUGUGAGGGCUGCUUUCACUGCACGGCCACCACCCCGUUCCUCGCCGGCUCUCUCUUCCUCACAGCAGCACAGGCUGGAUUGCACAAAAAAAACUCUUCUCCUCUCUCCGCGCACUCCUCUUUGCUAGACGGGUUUUUAGCAGAAACACAUACGGCCAAAGACAAUUAGAGAGAGAGGGGGAAAAAAAAUGCCAGUAUUAUUUAAACUAACAGAGUGCAGGAAAAGGCCGCUUUGCACUGCAAGGACCUUUGAGGGCACUCCCCAUCGAGGAGGGAACAAAGGCCAUGACCCCUGGGUCAAAAGCGUUACAUGGGAGGCCAAGCGAGCUCAUUGAAUGUUCCACUGUUGUUUGCUUUAAGAAGGAUUCUGAAAGAAGGAGAGGAGGAAGAGAGACACAGAGAGAAAAGAGCAAGGGAGAGCUUCUCCUGGGAACAAGCUGGAAAUUAUGGACCUAUUCGAUAUCAGACCUCAGAGUGGACAACCUAUCCUAAGAGGGACGCGCCCUAACUGUAACUAACAACUACUUCUGGCAGCCCUUCAACAACCAGACAUAUUGUCCUGGAUCAGGGCCGUUUUCGAAAAGGCAGCAAUGAGCAAGGGCAGCCUAGGCAAGAAAUCAACAUCGACCUUCAGCCUCAUUAAUAUCAAUUAAUACUUUUUUCCUCUAAUAAAAAUACAGAAUUUUAAACUAUGAUCCCAAUGAGGCGUUAAUUAUCAAAUGUAGCAUGUUAAGGUGAUACAUGCUCUAAAAAAGAAGGAUUUCCACACUAAAGUGGGGCAGCAUUAAGAGGUCAGCACAGCGCUUUAAAAAAAAAAAAUUAAAAUGUAUAAUGCGUGAGUUAAUUAUUUCACCUACUAUUUUAGUACUGAUAUAUUAAAAGCUCAAAAUCCAACACUAAUGCAAUGUUGCAUUACUUCGUACUGUGUAGGUCUGAAGAUCUGCAUUUAAAGUGUGAAAGUAACAAAACUGCCUUAUGGUGGAAACGAGCACAAGCAGGGUUUGAAUGAAUGUAACAAUGUAAAUAUACUAAAUUAAAAAUAUUUUUGACUGACUAUAAUACCUGUGUCAUUUGUGUCAUUAUAGCAGAGAUCACAAUGUAAGAACCAAUCAUUUUUAGACAUGCACCAAAUGGGUGUUAUCUAGUUAAACAGCAAUGUAAAAAUACUGAUCUGUAGCACUAAAUAAUGUACUGAGACAAAUUUCAAUAAUCAGUGACACAUAAAGUAAAUUCUCCUUUUCUGUCCACUUAACUAUCAGAUCUCUGCAUACUUCUACUCGUCCUUCCAGUUUUCUCAUGCAGGUUGUUAAUUCCUACUUAAAAAAAAAAACAAAAAAACCUUGGCCAUUUUGUUUUGUUCUCCCUAAUCACUACGCCAGGAGUGCACAGCCCUGGCAUUUCAGGGGCCACGUCACAACGGCUGUUUCUGUGCCGCAGGGCUGCAAGGAGUCCAACACAGCAGAGCCAUACGCACUCAGCGGUUCGCUGCCUCAACAAACACUUUGUGCACACUGUUUUGUUGUCUUACACAAUCUGUCUAGCAUCCUUGCUCCACUGAGAACAGCAAAACAUGUAACUAAUAACAUUUAACAAUAUGUGUGCUUUUUUUUUUUCCUGGUGCCUUUUCCAACACGACAUCACACACCUUUCAGCUCCCGAAUCACUUUGCAGCACUUCCCUUCUCAUGAUUGCUACAGUGAAGCAAGCUUAGUGACAAAACAGAGUUACUCGAGCACAAAAAGUAAAUAUUUGAAAUAUUCUAGAUAUUUACCACUUUGAUAUCUGUUGUUUGGCAACCUUGAAAAAAGGGAAACAGCGCUGAUAUUGAUGUCAUGGAUUAAAAAAAGAAGGACAAAAAAAAAAAAUCACUGAUUAGGGAAAUCACACUUGGGUUACUGAUGAGUAAAACUGCAUUAGGAGAAUGGCGUUUAUCUAUGUGGGAGAAAAGCAGUGAUUUAUAGGACAGUUGCAUAAACAGAUGUUAUACUCUGUGGGCUAUUUAUGCAAAUUCAGUGGCUCUUCUGAUUCAUGCAAAAUAUUAUUAAUAUUUAUUUUUUACAUAGAGCAAAGUAAAAUGUGUUUGAGACAUAAAUCACUGUUCAGGGAAAGCAGACCACAUGCUAGCAAUAAAACUUACUACUGUGAAAAGCCAUUCAAGUCUGCUCAUUUGAUUGCAUCUACACGUGUGCAAAAAGUUUGUCUUCAUAAACUUCCCUUAAAUUUUUGUUUUUGUAAUCCUGUGUGUUGACAUCUAGUCGGUUUAUUAGUUUCAUGCAGAGGCUUGUAUCAAAAGCACAGAGAGCAUUUAAAGUAUACACUACAUUUAUUUUGUCUAUUUUGACUACAAGUGUCACGCAUUGUGUGUUUUUUCAACUUCAUGUCAAGCGUGUGAUAAAAACAAUGUUUAUUUUUAUUACUCUCGUUAUCAUCAUUAUAAUCAUUAUGCCUCAUUAUAUAAUACUUUUGUGGGAACAAGCAACCCUGUUCCUCGUGAUUAUGACCGCAGACACUUAGAAGGGUAAACACUUGUGCAAAAUUAUUUCAAUGCUAGUCUGUGAUUCAGGGACCCUCUGUGUAAACUCUAUGCUCUCUUUAUGGUAAACUGUGCUGACACUGAUGGGGUGUAACAUGUUCUGGUCCACCCAUCAGCAUAAUCAUCAUCAAGCUAAAGGUGUCGACAGCACGUAUUCGAUGGUGUGACAGCCUCUGACCUCUCACACCAACUUAGUAAGGCAGAGGGUCAUGUGGAGGACAUGGCUAUGGAGGGAGAAGUCAAUCUUAUCCUUCCGUUCCGCCACAGGCCUGUGUGCAGCGACAGCAAGAUGAGCUAGAGGGCUUUCCAAAAUCCACACACGUUUGGCCGGGAGUAAGGCAUCGGGGCCGUGUGUGUUUCAAAGGAAACGCUGAGGAAAGCGCUUUUUUUGUGGCAGCACUCGUGCACUUGACAGUGUGUAUUUGCCUGCCUCUAUGUCUUUGCUCCAUCCCCACCCUGACUCAAUAUCCCUCAGCACCAAUAUGUGUCAUCUUUAGUAGCCAAAAUGGCGUACAGCCCACUUGUCUCCCAAAGGUAGAGGACCCUACCUUGUAUCUCUUGAUAUGGAUCUCACGUGUGCAGACAAUUUUUUGCCAUUAUCUCUACACAUUACAAAUACCUCGGGCUCUGCUGAGCAGCGUGGGACUGAGAGGUUAAAAGGCAGGAGGCACGGAGAUGAGAGGCACUGAAAAGCCUCAGCUCUCGGACUGUUGUCAAUUGAGCCUGUGCUUCUCUAAUGGGGGGGGGGGGUUGAUAACCUGGCACACAACCAACCACUAAUGCCACUUAAAUGUCAGAGACUGCAGAAAGAAAGGGAGACAGCAAAACUGGGAGCACAUUCAUAUUUCAGCAUGGCAGAUGCUAUAAUACGUUCAUGCCUCACAAUGAGGACAAACAAAGACCCCAGAAGUUUGAAAAAAAAAAGAGAAGGCAGGCAUGAUAAAAGGGAAAUGAAAAAGAGGAAAAGGGAUUUUGUAGAAGUGAUGGAGGCAGCUCCAUCUAAUGGUUGUCUCUAUUCGACAAAGUUUGGAGUAGAUCUGUCUCACUCUUUCUCUCUCUCUCCUCUCUCUUUCUCACUCUCUCUCCGCAGAUGAAAACCUGACUGGGUGGGGGUCGGGGACAGGGUUGAGUCUGGUGUUGGGGGUGGGGUUGGAUUGCUGGAGAGAGUGAUCUUUUUUUCCAGCGGGGUGAAAGGCGGACGGUCAUGUGUGCAGAGCUCAUGACAAAAGGCCCUUUUAUGUGCAGCGUAUGCAGAUAGAGGAGGCUCCUUUGUGCACAGAUGGAGAUCCCAUGCCUGGGUCUGCCUGCGGCAGAGAGGGAAGGGAGGGCGGAGAGGAGAGAAGAGUGGUGGUGAAGGGAAGAGAGGGGAGGGAGGGGUGUCUCUGGCACUGAGUGCCAUCACUAUGUCUGGUGGGGGAUGGGGCACGGAAAAGAAGGACCGAGCGGUCCCGGUCCUGCCAGGUUCAUACACAGCGAGGAGGGGCCACGAGCCUCGCUAAGAGGAUACAGAGACUUGUAACUCAAUAGUGGAAUCGAAGAGAGUCCAUCAAGUGAGUAGCAAGUGGCCCAGGGUCAAGUAUUACACACAAAUAAUCUUUGAUUUUUGCUUCUUUUUGCUGGCUAUGGAAAACACGGCUUGUCACAUAUAGUGCCAGAGAGCUAAUACAAGUACAGUACAGCAUGCAAAACUUAUCUGAUACCAACUACGGAUUACAGGCUUAGAAAAGCUUAACCUAGUUUUUUUCAAUGCCAACUAUCACAUGUGCCUAACAGGUGAAAUGUUCAAACAUAACUACAGUUGCAAUUUUGACCCUAUAACGAGGGGUCAAUCAUUCACGUGAACCAUCAAGCCCCAAAUGAAACUGACUGACAAGUUCAAGUUCUAGUUCAUUCUCAAAUAAAUGCCUCUUCAUCUGUCUCAGUCUCUAUUAUCUCAGUGUUGCUGCUUUGAACCCGUCCUGACUGUUAUCUAUCAGUGUCUGGAUAAGAGCAUUAAAUGUGUAUCCUGGUGGCAGCUCUCCCCUGGGAGUCGAGGUGACUCCUACUGACAUCUAGUCUGCUGAGAAGACAUCAUAUCCUUUAAGUAACCUCCUUCCCUUGACCAGCACAUCACAACACUCAAGUCAGACAGCUUCCUAUCCUCCUGGAGGCCCACGGCUCUUUUCUCCAGUGGACAGAUAGACACCACACAAUGACAGACCCUUUAAACUCUUCACAUUGGGCUGAAGCUGCUGAUGGACGUGCUGAGAGCUGCUACUGUUUGAAUAUAAAACAAGAGCGAGAUAGAAAUGCACAAUUUCCUAAAGAAAGAUUUUUGUCAAGGGAUUUGUUAACUAACAUGCUUGAUAACUAAUGAGUUAAUGUUAGCUACCUAUUGGGUUCAUUAUCUCAUGAUAGUAUGCAUGUUAAGUUUCCCAAACACUGAAAUUCUUGCUGAGUAAAAACGAGUAUAAGAUACAAGCGAGUAUUGUUCUGUAUUUCAUAUUUAAAGCAAUUUUUACAUUUUAUUCCUAAACAGCGCUGUAUAAAUAAACCUUAAUUUCUUACUAAAAUAGUUUUGUAAAUGGGGUCCAAAUUAGAGCCAAACAGACCCAGUAGAACGAGGUAUGCUUUCAGGUAGGCCUUCCUUGUGAUUUACAUGUCAUUCUGAGUCAAAGUUCUCUUACUUCCCAUGUCUGGUUUCAAAAUACUAACACGGCAACAGGCAAAAUGCUGUUCACUGAACCAAUGGGUGGCAUCACAGUCCAUUUUUGUAUACAGUCUAUGCUUCUCCCCAGGAAAGACUUUGCCAACCUGCCAUACUGAAAUCAGUGGACCAGGGAAAAAAUCUGGAGUGAAAAGAAGCUGAAUUAAUAUGAUUAAUGGGGAAACAAAGCAAACAAGACUUUGCUGAUGCUGUUGUGCUGAUCAUUGUGCCAUUAAAUUACAAACUGUACCCUUUUUACUGGUAAUGAUUGAUAAAAACUGGAUGUGCAGUGUACUGGUUUAUAAGAGGAGCAUGCCAGAAAAAGUGUGAGAACCACUGGCUCAGGCUAAUUAAAGUGAUCAGGUGUUUUUGUCUGAGUUCUGUCUUAACUUUGGCCUAACUGCCCAGCCUGUCUGCCUGCACUCUGGCUGCCAGGAGGCCAGGAAUGAAAGCCUGGCACUUACCCCCCUCUCCUCUAUCUGAUCCCCUGUUGCUACCCUAGAUGCCAACAAAGGUAUUUCUGCCCCUAAUCAACAUGGAGUGGUAGAGAGAUAUGAACGAAUGCCUGUUUUUUUCUUUUUUACACAAAAGCAGAAAGGAUUUAGGUAAACAAUAGGAAACAUUUUCUCAAGAUAAAACUGCAUUCCCAAGAGCUACUACAAUACAUUACGUUGGUUUAUCAAGCUUUCUUCUCUAUUCAAAGUUAAAUUCACAAGUUGACUUUAUGUCAGUUAUGUUUUUAAAAUAUGAGGAAAGUCAUCCCUUUAUUUCUGUCCUGUCUCCAACAAUUUUAUACUAUAGCACAUUUAUGGUACAUCGUGGGAAAAAAAGAUAAUUUGGGAUAUGUUAACAUCAUCAUGUGAAAGCAUUGUGCCUUGUGUUAACAUACCAAGUUGCUAACUUAUACCGUACCUUACUCUGUUUUGAUGUAAUGUCAAAUGUGUAUAGUUGUAACAGCCACAACGGUUCCUCUGCAUCAUAUUCUGGCCAGUUUAUCUCUGACACCCACAAGAAAGGCAUAACUAUCUGUUUGAAAGGGAAAUGGGCAGCAGCAGAUAAAGGGUAUACAAGCAUGAUAGAUUAAACAAACUGUGUGUUAUUAUAAGCUGAAAUAUGAAAUGUAAGAGUUUCAUAAACAGGAAAAUAUAAUGUGUGCCCUCUUAGUGUAUUUACUGCCAUCAGCACAUGAUCUGCUGGAUCCAUCGGAUCUGAUUUUUUUUUUUUUACAGAAAGGCAGAUUAAAAUGACUAAUUUACUACACUUCAGUGAAACAAGAGGCAGGAAAUCUGGGAAAAUAAUCAGAAAUCCCGACUAUGAAACAAAGACGAGGCUGAUGAAGAUGAUGGUGACGAGAAAAGCUGUAGCGUGUUCAACAUGUGGCUGUCUCAGCUGACCUGUUAAAUCUUACAGACAAUACAAAUAACGAUUAUUUUCUUGCACUCGAAAGGAUUGAAGGAUUUUCAAGUGAGCUUACUCUCACAAUAGUGGGGCGUCCGGGGCAGGAGGGAUACGCAGCCUGGACCCCGAACAGCACAAUGUGCAAAAGCAAAAUGGGGAGCAUGAAAUGAUGGCUCAGAAACCUCCAGACCGCUUAGCUUUGAGUGCUUCGUCAUAACAAAGCUGACCACCACUGCUCACCAGGAUUGAGACAACACAUUCAGCAGUGACAGCCAGUGCUAUUGUGUAGGCCUGUGUUAAAAUGAAAUUUAAAAAAAAAUCAAUCAUGAAAAAACGGAACACAACUAUGAGCGAAGGCACAACCUUACAGUAGGAUUACAGGGCCUCUGUUUUAUUUUUGAACGCCACCAGAGUGGGUCAGUUAGAAUAAAUUCCUGAUCAACAUCCUACAGUGCCUGUAAAGUCUCUCAGCACAUCCACAGUCUGAAGCAAGUUUUAGCUCCCCUCCCUAAAAGCUCACUGUCUUCUGACUAGCAAGCUUACGCCAGUCUUUGCUUAUUGAGACUGUCUCAUCUUCGUGUCAUGUGGAAGCUUCAAAAGCAAAAUAGAAAACACUGUUUCUCUUUCUUGGUUGCAAAUUGCAAUCUCUCAAAUCCAUCUUUGCCUGUUCAGAUCUGAUCUGGAAUACAACCAGCAUGAAUACCAACAGCAAGAAAGAUUACAACGGAUCUCUUUUUAAAAAAGAAUAUGCAUUUUACUCUUUUCCUGGAAAGUGAGUAAAUAUACAUGGAGUCCCCACUUGUUCACAGAACUUACAGCACAUAAAACACAUAAUUGUACUAGAGUCAGCCCUGUUUUUUUGAACUGUCUUCCAGUCACUACAGAAGCAAUGAAAAAAAGAAGCAAAUACAAUCUCUCUCCUUUUAUGAUCAAACAAUUUUUGUAAUUUCAAAACUUACUAAAGAAAAAAGGGAAAAAAAGAUCGACAUUACUGCUUCUCUUUAACUGCAAAUUUUAAUGUACCUGAGCUAUCAGCAAUCUAAUUAAAAUUUAAUUAAAACUAAUAAUUGAAUGCCUGAUUAAUGACAAGCAAUUCACCUCUAAUAUUUAUACUACAUGAGUUUAUUUUAUCUACCUAACUACAUGCUCAUAGUACAUAUGUUUGAGGUAAAUAGGUAAAAAAAGUACAUGAAAAUCCAACAUUUUAAUAUCACA